AACGAACGCUGGCGGCGCGCCUAAUACAUGCAAGUCGAACGAGAAUGUGUAGCAAUACACAUGUACAGUGGCGAACGGGUGAGGAAUACAUGGGUAACCUACCCUCGAGUGGGGAAUAAC
This 120-nucleotide ribosomal RNA is filed under the name uncultured bacterium. Its description in RNAcentral is "partial 16S ribosomal RNA". It matches the Rfam family "Bacterial small subunit ribosomal RNA", at positions 29 to 147 of the family's 1533-position model. The record is from RNAcentral.